This 254-nucleotide ribosomal RNA is filed under the name uncultured bacterium. RNAcentral's name for it is "partial 16S ribosomal RNA". It matches the Rfam family "Bacterial small subunit ribosomal RNA", at positions 524 to 776 of the family's 1533-position model. The record is from RNAcentral.
UACGGAGGGUGCAAGCGUUACCCGGAAUCACUGGGCGUAAAGCGCAUGUAGGCGGCCAAGCAGGUCUGAUGUGAAAGCCCUUGGCUCAACCAAGGAAGUGCAUUCGAAACCGCUCUGGCUCGAGUCCCGGAGAGGGUGGUGGAAUUCUCGGCGUAGAGGUGAAAUUCGUAGAGUUCGGGAGGAACACCUGUGGCGAAAGCGGCCACCUGGACGGAGACUGACGCUGAGAUGCGAAAGCGUGGGGAGCAAACAGG